Molecule: long non-coding RNA, 744 nt
Organism: Leopardus geoffroyi (Geoffroy's cat)
Lineage: Eukaryota; Metazoa; Chordata; Mammalia; Carnivora; Felidae
Exons: 3
Source: RefSeq, a predicted model, not a curated record
AGAUGCCAAACUGCAGAACCUCUUUACCCCUCCAGACUAAUUUUUUCAUCUGUGCAACUGGUUUUUCAUCUGCUUUGAGGAACUCAGGUCCUUCCUUCUGACCCCUCUACGUUUGCUGGGCAUGUGCAGGGAAGUUAGACAGAGCGGGGUUUGGAGUGAAGCCACUCAAGUCUGCGUCCCUACUUUGCAGCUUGCUGGCUCCACGGCCAAACACAAAUCACCUUCUUUCUCUAGCUCUCGGUUUGCUCAGAGGGAGGAUGAUGGCCCGCGUCGUGGGCGCAACUCAGCAUCAGACUCAAAGCUUCUUUAGGAAGACACGGCCUGGACACAGGGAUACAGACAAGGCCUCUAUAAACCACAGCGUAUGGCUGCAGCUUUCUCAGCCUGGGGAGAGGACUGGGUUGCACAUGCAGACAAGGCGGAAGCCUUGACCAAGACCCCUGAGUCCACGGUGCCGCCUGGCAAAAUGUAUCGCGUCGUGAGCACACCGCCGGCAGUAAACGGCCAGGAGCCAAGAGCCGAGGACCUGCUGAAGCCAAUGCCGCUCACUGUGGAUGGAGACCUGGCCUGCGUGGAGCUGAGGGGCCAGAAGGCUCAACAGCUGGGAGAACUCACCGCGGGGGUCAGCCUGAGGGGGUCUGACCCUUGACCUUCUCAUUCCUUAGCCCUGUGACCUCACUCAAAUUGUUUCACCUCUUUGCCCUUCAAUUCCCCUUCUGUAAAAUAGGACCGGAAACGAACCCA